AUAGGACUGAGACUGGAGAGCCUGGCUGAGCAAGGAAGAGGACCCAGGAACCUUUGUCCCAGUGAGAGAGGCUGAGGAGUACGUACCAAGGGACAGUUUGUGAGACUCUGCCCCUCCCUCCCCACUGCUGAUAUAACAGCAUGAAAUUAAACCUAUUCCAGUCUGUGACAUCUGAUCCCUUUGACAUGACAUAGUACAACCUGUAGAGCCAGAGGUGGGGGCCAGGAAGCCCUGUUCUAGUCUCUCUGCACAACCUUGAGCCAUCUCAUCAUCUGCACAUCUGCCUGAACCUCAGUCUCCCACUCUGGACGUUGUCGGGGUGAUGGAGCAAGCAUUCAGUUAUUCUCUGCUGGAUUCUGAUGUGGUCUAAAGUCCACACUUUGUUGUGAAACACCGCAAUCUGUGAUGUACAGAACCUAUUACUGCGGCCACCCAGGAAUGCUGGGGGCAGGCCUUUUGAGAAGGUGAAUCAGCGUGUGUUAGCUCAGGGCAGAGGGCCUGGCGGUGAGACGUGAGAACAGCCAAUGUCAUGGCGGUGGGGGAGUGGACGUGAGCCAUCUGGGGCCCAGCAAACAGCAUGUUGAAAAAAACGAGGAACUCAAAGGCAGAUGAGCCUACCACGCUGGGAACAGUUGGGAGUACAUUGCUCAAGGGCUUGGAAUGGAGGGGGUGGAGUUGAGGAGAUCACAGAGGACCUAGGAGUGUGUGUAUCGGAGAGAGAUAGGAAACCACUGACCGUUCAGCACACAUUCAGAAUUACUGCCUGUCCCAGGGAGGGACCCACAGCUCCGGCGCUCCGUUCAGCAUCUGGAAGAGCAUAGCUCGCUGUGAGCGGCCGCCCCAGAAGACUGUAUCCCACCCAGCCAGCUCUCCUGCCUGCUUGCCUCUGCCCCACACCAGGACACUUCAUACUGUCAGAACCACUGGGUGUGUGAGCUUGUGAGAGGGUGUGUGGGCACACAUGUCCCUGUGUGGGGUGUGGAGGUCAGAGGGCAACUUGGAGGAAUUGGUUCUCUCCUUCCACCACUGGGGCCCAGGAAUCAAGCCGAGGUUCCCAGACGUGGUAGCAGCCUCCCUUACCUGUUAAACCAGUGCUUCCCAGACUUCCUAAUGCUGUGACCUCAUGCUGUGCUGACCCCCGCCCAUGACAUUAUCUCUGUUGGUAUUUUAUAACUGUAAUUUUGCUACUAUUAUGAAUCACAAUGUAAAUGUCUGUUUUCUGAUGG
This 1226-nucleotide long non-coding RNA is filed under the name Mus musculus (house mouse). RNAcentral's name for it is "predicted gene, 19696". Lineage: Eukaryota; Metazoa; Chordata; Mammalia; Rodentia; Muridae. The record is from RNAcentral.